GGUGCAUGGUUGUCGUCAGCUCGUGUCGUGAGAUGUUGGGUUAAGUCCCGCAACGAGCGCAACCCCUAUCUUCAGUAGCCAGCAUUUGAGGUGGGCACUCUGGAGAGACUGCCAGGGACAACCUGGAGGAAGGUGGGGACGACGUCAAAUCAUCAUGCCCCUUAUGGGCAGGGCUACACACGUGCUACAAUGGCGUAAACAAAGGGAGGCGAAGCCGCGAGGCCGAGCAAAUCCCAAAAAUAACGUCCCAGUUCGGAUUGCAGUCUGCAACUCGACUGCAUGAAGCUGGAAUCGCUAGUAAUCGCGAAUCAGAAUGUCGCGGUGAAUACGUUCCCGGGUCUUGUACACACCGCCCGUCACACCAUGGGAGUUGGUAACGCCCGAAGUCAGUGACCCAACCGGAAGGAGGGAGCUGCCGAAGGCGGGACCGGUAACUGGGGUGAAGUCGUAACAAGGUAGCCGUAUCGGAAGGUGCGGUUGGAUCACCUCCUU
RNAcentral lists this ribosomal RNA (492 nucleotides) under uncultured bacterium. Its description in RNAcentral is "bacterial SSU rRNA". It matches the Rfam family "Bacterial small subunit ribosomal RNA", at positions 1040 to 1532 of the family's 1533-position model. The record is from RNAcentral.